GACGAACGCUGGCGGUGUGCCUAAUACAUGCAAGUCGAACGCUUCUUUCCUCCCGAGUGCUUGCACUCAAUUGGAAAGAGGAGUGGCGGACGGGUGAGUAACACGUGGGUAACCUACCCAUCAGAGGGGGAUAACACUUGGAAACAGGUGCUAAUACCGCAUAACAGUUUAUGCCGCAUGGCAUAAGAGUGAAAGGCGCUUUCGGGUGUCGCUGAUGGAUGGACCCGCGGUGCAUUAGAUAGUUGGUGAGGUAACGGCUCACCAAGGCCACGAUGCAUAGCCGACCUGAGAGGGUGAUCGGCCACACUGGGACUGAGACACGGCCCAGACUCCUACGGGAGGCAGCAGUAGGGAAUCUUCGGCAAUGGACGAAAGUCUGACCGAGCAACGCCGCGUGAGUGAAGAAGGUUUUCGGAUCGUAAAACUCUGUUGUUAGAGAAGAACAAGGACGUUAGUAACUGAACGUCCCCUGACGGUAUCUAACCAGAAAGCCACGGCUAACUACGUG
RNAcentral lists this ribosomal RNA (508 nucleotides) under uncultured bacterium. RNAcentral describes it as "partial 16S ribosomal RNA". It matches the Rfam family "Bacterial small subunit ribosomal RNA", at positions 28 to 507 of the family's 1533-position model. The record is from RNAcentral.